ACGGAGGGUGCAAGCGUUACUCGGAAUCACUGGGCGUAAAGGACGCGUAGGCGGAUUAUCAAGUCUCUUGUGAAAUCUAACGGCUUAACCGUUAAACUGCUUGGGAAACUGAUAAUCUAGAGUAGGGGAGAGGCAGAUGGAAUUCUUGGUGUAGGGGUAAAAUCCGUAGAUAUCAAGAAGAAUACCUAUUGCGAAGGCGAUCUGCUGGAACUUAACUGACGCUAAUGCGUGAAAGCGUGGGGAGCAAACAG
Molecule: ribosomal RNA, 251 nt
Filed under: uncultured bacterium
Lineage: Bacteria
Description: partial 16S ribosomal RNA
Rfam family: Bacterial small subunit ribosomal RNA
Source: RNAcentral